UUGGUGGGUUGAGUAGUAUCCCCAAAUGGGCUUGCAUAUGUUUAUUGAUGUUGCAUGUAUUUUGAAAUGGGCCUAUGGGCCAUACUGUUAUCUGAAUAAGGGGCUAAGGCCCUGUUUAUUGUAAUCUGAAAAGGGCUCUGGUCCAGUACCACCGUUACCCAAAUGGGCUUGCAUAUGUUUAUUGAUGUUGCAUGUAUUUUGAAAUGGGCCUAUGGGCCAUACUGUUAUCUGAAUAAGGGGCUAAGGCCCAGUUUAUUGUAAUCUGAAAAGGGCUCUGGCCCAGUAUCACUGUUACCUGAAUGGGCUUAGGCCCAAUAGGCUUGAGCUGACUUGGGCUUUGAAUGGGUUUUCCUUACACACUGAGUUUCCCCAAACUCACCCUUUUUAUUUUCAUCCACACAGGAAAUCCCCAACCAUAGUGGGCUUGGAGCUGUGAGGGAAUUUGGAGUGGCCACCCGUUCUGAAAGUUUGAUUUUCUUCUGGUGAACUGGACAUCCUUUUAAUUAUGUUUGAGGUUUUGGGCUUUUAAAUGUAAUAAGGCCGCUUAUUUAUUUUUGAUGGUUUUUAAUAUGUAUUACUAAGAUAGGUAAUACUUAUUUUAACUGUUGAAAUUGGAUAGCUUUAGGGCGCAUUUUCAAAAACAACAGUUGAUUUCAAAAUAACACGACAACAAGCAAAGCUUCCGCAAUGAAAGUAUUUUCUAAAAUUAAUCACUUUUCCUAAAAAUGACUUAAUUGAAUCGGUUUCCUAGAAAUAUCCAUGACGUUAAGGUGUGGCAAUGGCGGUAUGCAUGUCUAGGAUUGGAUUCGAAGGGAGCUUGGUACUUAAGCAGUCCGAUGGACUCACUACCUCUUUUCCGGUUUCCUAUCUGGUGCACAGCUUCCAUUCACUUUAACCCUUAAUGAAUUAAUCUUUUGAACAUCAAGUACG
Molecule: long non-coding RNA, 930 nt
Filed under: Gossypium barbadense (sea-island cotton)
Lineage: Eukaryota; Viridiplantae; Streptophyta; Magnoliopsida; Malvales; Malvaceae
Description: long non-coding RNA (GBAR_LNC004491)
Source: RNAcentral